AAGGGAUAUUCAGGCAGGCAUCAGGGUGAUUGGUGGUGGAGCGAGGUAGUCAAAGGAAAAGUCGAGGUGAAGAAGGCGGCGUUCGCUAGGUUGGCAGGGAGCACAAGAGAGGAGGAGCGGAGAGCGAACAGGUUGAUCUACGGGAGGCGAGAAGAGAAGCUAAGAUGGCAGUCACGGAAGCUAAAAAUGCGGUGUUCGGUCGCA
Molecule: long non-coding RNA, 204 nt
Filed under: Nicotiana benthamiana
Lineage: Eukaryota; Viridiplantae; Streptophyta; Magnoliopsida; Solanales; Solanaceae
Description: long non-coding RNA (NBEN_LNC000135)
Source: RNAcentral